AUAUUUCUGAAUAAAAGUUAAUAAAAUUCUCAUUAAUAUUUGAGAAAAAAAAUUCUCCUUUAUACAUAAUUUAUUUAUAUUGUCCACAAAAAUUUAUAUGCAUUCAUCAAAACGCCAAAAUAUCCCUAAACUUCCAAUAACAUUUUGGUUUAGGUCUCCUACUAGAAUAAAAUUUUUUGUUUGUACCUGCUUCAUCUAUGGCUAUGUUUGUUUCGUCAAAAGUAGAGAAAUAUCCAUUUUCACUGCUUCGUUUACUGCUACUUCACCUUCUGUCGAAACUCAAACUCUCCAAAAAUAGCAUAAUUACUUCGUCCCACCUCAAGCCUAAGUUAAUUACGAAAAA
RNAcentral lists this long non-coding RNA (343 nucleotides) under Ananas comosus (pineapple). Its description in RNAcentral is "long non-coding RNA (ACOM_LNC043349)". The record is from RNAcentral. Lineage: Eukaryota; Viridiplantae; Streptophyta; Magnoliopsida; Poales; Bromeliaceae.